UCUCCGUAGGUGAACCUGCGGAGGGAUCAUUACCGAGUUAGGGUCUCACCGGCCCGAUCUCCCAACCCUUUGUCUACUUGACCAUCGUUGCUUCGGCGAGCCCGUCCUCACAGACCGCCGGGGGGUCUUCGCACCCCUUGGCCCGCGCUCGUCGAUAGCCCCCAAAUUUAUAAAAUUCUUAACUAAACGUGUCUUGAAUCUAAGUAUUAUUGUUAAAUAAAAACAAAACUUUCAACAACGGAUCUCUUGGUUCUGGCAUCGAUGAAGAACGCAGC
RNAcentral lists this unclassified non-coding RNA (275 nucleotides) under uncultured fungus. RNAcentral describes it as "sequence contains ITS1, 5.8S rRNA gene". The stretch from base 227 to 275 matches the Rfam family "5.8S ribosomal RNA", at positions 1 to 49 of the family's 154-position model. Lineage: Eukaryota; Fungi. The record is from RNAcentral.